CCUACGGGGCGCAGCAGUGGGGAAUAUUGGGCAAUGGGCGCAAGCCUGACCCAGCAACGCCGCGUGGAGGAUGAAGGCCUUCGGGUUGUAAACUUCUUUUCUCAGGGACGAAGCAAGUGACGGUACCUGAGUAAUAAGCAACGGCUAACUACGUGCCAGCAGCCGCGGUAAUACGUAGGUGGCAAGCGUUAUCCGGAUUUACUGGGUGUAAAGGGCGUGUAGGCGGGACUGCAAGUCAGAUGUGAAAACCACGGGCUCAACCUGUGGCCUGCAUUUGAAACUGUAGUUCUUGAGUACUGGAGAGGCAGACGGAAUUCCUAGUGUAGCGGUGAAAUGCGUAGAUAUUAGGAGGAACACCAGUGGCGAAGGCGGUCUGCUGGACAGCAACUGACGCUGAGGCGCGAAAGCGUGGGGAGCAAACAGGAUUAGAUACCCUUGUAGUC
Molecule: ribosomal RNA, 443 nt
Filed under: uncultured bacterium
Lineage: Bacteria
Description: partial 16S ribosomal RNA
Rfam family: Bacterial small subunit ribosomal RNA
Source: RNAcentral